UACAAUCACCAAAGUUAAGCAACAUUGAGCCUGAUUAGUACCUAGAUGGGUGACUACUUGGGAAUACCAAGUGCUGUAAU
This is a non-coding RNA of Acanthosepion pharaonis, 80 nucleotides long. The record is from the annotation of a GenBank genome assembly. NCBI's taxonomy places the organism in Eukaryota, Metazoa, Mollusca, Cephalopoda, Sepiida, Sepiidae.